GCGAAAGGGAUUAGAUACCCCUGUAGUCCUGGCCGUAAACGAUGAACACUAGGUGUCGGGGGAAUCGACCCCCUCGGUGUCGUAGCCAACGCGUUAAGUGUUCCGCCUGGGGAGUACGCACGCAAGUGUGAAACUCAAAGGAAUUGACGGGGGCCCGCACAAGCGGUGGAGUAUGUGGUUUAAUUCGAUGCAACGCGAAGAACCUUACCAGGGUUUGACAUCCUGCGAAUCUCUUGGAAACAGGAGAGUGCCUUCGGGAACGCAGUGACAGGUGGUGCAUGGCUGUCGUCAGCUCGUGUCGUGAGAUGUUGGGUUAAGUCCCGCAACGAGCGCAACCCACGUCUUUAGUUGCCAGCAUUUAGUUGGGCACUCUAGAGAGACUGCCGGUGAUAAACCGGAGGAAGGUGUGGAUGACGUCAAGUCAUCAUGCCCCUUACAUCCUGGGCUACACACGUACUACAAUGCUACGGACAAAGGGCAGCAAGUUCGCGAGGACAAGCAAAUCCCAUAAACCGUGGCUCAGUUCAGAUCGUAGGCUGCAACUCGCCUACGUGAAGGCGGAAUCGCUAGUAAUCGCAGGUCAGCAUACUGCGGUGAAUACGUUCCCGGGCCUUGUACACACCGCCCGUCACACCAUGGAAGUUGGCCACGCCCGAAGCCGUUACUCCAACCCUUGUGGAGGAGGACGUCGAAGGUGGGGCUGAUGACUGGGGUGAAGUCGUAACAAGGUAACCGUA
Molecule: ribosomal RNA, 737 nt
Filed under: uncultured bacterium
Lineage: Bacteria
Description: bacterial SSU rRNA
Rfam family: Bacterial small subunit ribosomal RNA
Source: RNAcentral